RNAcentral lists this ribosomal RNA (440 nucleotides) under uncultured bacterium. RNAcentral's name for it is "partial 16S ribosomal RNA". It matches the Rfam family "Bacterial small subunit ribosomal RNA", at positions 338 to 795 of the family's 1533-position model. The record is from RNAcentral.
CCUACGGGGGGCAGCAGUGGGGAAUAUUGCACAAUGGGGGAAACCCUGAUGCAGCGACGCCGCGUGAGUGAAGAAGUAUUUCGGUACGUAAAGCUCUAUCUGUAGGGAAGAAAAUGACGGUACGUGACUAAGAAGCUACGGCUAACUACGUGCCAGCAGCCGCGGUAAUACGGCGGGGGCAAGCGUUAUCCGGAUUUACUGGGUGUAAAGGGGGCGUAGACGGCAGGUCAAGUCUGAAGUGAAAUCCCAUGGCUUAACCAUGGAACUGCUUUGGAAACUGGGCAGCUUGAGUGCAGGAGAGGUAAGCGGAAUUCCUAGUGUAGCGGUGAAAUGCGUAGAUAUUAGGAGGAACACCAGUGGCGAAGGCGGCUUACUGGACUGUAACUGACGUUGAGGCUCGAAAGCGUGGGGAUCAAACAGGAUUAGAUACCCGUGUAGUC